AGAGUUUGAUUAUGGCUCAGGAUGAACGCUGGCGGCGUGCUUAACACAUGCAAGUCGAGCGGAGCACAUCGUUGGAAUCCUUCGGGAGGAAGAAGGUGUGGCUUAGCGGCGGACGGGUGAGUAACGCGUGGACAACCUGCCCUAUGCAGGGGGAUAACAUCCGGAAACGGGUGCUAAUACCGCAUAAGCGCACAGUACCGCAUGGUACGGUGUGAAAAGCUGAGGCGGCAUAGGAUGGGUCCGCGUUGGAUUAGGCAGUUGGCGGGGUAACGGCCCACCAAACCGACGAUCCAUAGCCGGCCUGAGAGGGUGGACGGCCACAUUGGGACUGAGACACGGCCCAGACUCCUACGGGAGGCAGCA
Molecule: ribosomal RNA, 363 nt
Filed under: uncultured bacterium
Lineage: Bacteria
Description: bacterial SSU rRNA
Rfam family: Bacterial small subunit ribosomal RNA
Source: RNAcentral